RNAcentral lists this ribosomal RNA (446 nucleotides) under uncultured bacterium. Its description in RNAcentral is "partial 16S ribosomal RNA". It matches the Rfam family "Bacterial small subunit ribosomal RNA", at positions 338 to 795 of the family's 1533-position model. The record is from RNAcentral.
CCUACGGGUGGCAGCAGUCGAGAAUCAUUCACAAUGGGGGAAACCCUGAUGGUGCGACGCCGCGUGGGGGAAUGAAGGUCUUCGGAUUGUAAACCCCUGUCAUGUGGGAGCAAAUUAAAAAGAUAGUACCACAAGAGGAAGAGACGGCUAACUCUGUGCCAGCAGCCGCGGUAAUACAGAGGUCCCAAGCGUUGUUCGGAUUCACUGGGCGUAAAGCGUGCGUAGGCUGUUUCGUAAGUCGUGUGUGAAAGGUGCGGGCUCAACCCGCGGACGGCACAUGAUACUGCGAGACUAGAGUAAUGGAGGGGGAACCGGAAUUCUCGGUGUAGCAGUGAAAUGCGUAGAUAGCGGGAGGAACACUCGUGGCGAAGGCGGGUUCCUGGACAUUAACUGACGCUGAGGCACGAAGGCCAGGGGAGCGAAAGGGAUUAGAUACCCGUGUAGUC